GCUUGGGUAGCUCAGUCAGUUGAGCAUCUGACUUCAGCUCAGAUCACAAUCUCAAGCU
RNAcentral lists this transfer RNA (58 nucleotides) under Mustela putorius furo (domestic ferret). The record is from Rfam by way of RNAcentral. Lineage: Eukaryota; Metazoa; Chordata; Mammalia; Carnivora; Mustelidae.